UAGGGAAUCUUCCACAAUGGACGCAAGUCUGAUGGAGCAACGCCGCGUGAGUGAAGAAGGUCUUCGGAUCGUAAAACUCUGUUGUUAGAGAAGAACACGAGUGAGAGUAACUGUUCAUUCGAUGACGGUAUCUAACCAGCGAGUCACGGCUAACUACGUGCAAG
RNAcentral lists this ribosomal RNA (164 nucleotides) under uncultured bacterium. Its description in RNAcentral is "partial 16S rRNA". It matches the Rfam family "Bacterial small subunit ribosomal RNA", at positions 355 to 511 of the family's 1533-position model. The record is from RNAcentral.